Molecule: transfer RNA, 72 nt
Filed under: Ictidomys tridecemlineatus (thirteen-lined ground squirrel)
Lineage: Eukaryota; Metazoa; Chordata; Mammalia; Rodentia; Sciuridae
Description: Spermophilus tridecemlineatus (thirteen-lined ground squirrel) tRNA
Rfam family: tRNA
About the family: Transfer RNA (tRNA) molecules are approximately 80 nucleotides in length. Their secondary structure includes four short double-helical elements and three loops (D, anti-codon, and T loops).
Source: Rfam by way of RNAcentral
AGGGAUAUAGCUCAGUUGGUAGAGUGCCUGCCUUGCAUGCAUAAGGCCCUGGGUUCAAUUCCCAGUGCCCUA